RNAcentral lists this ribosomal RNA (253 nucleotides) under uncultured bacterium. RNAcentral's name for it is "partial 16S ribosomal RNA". It matches the Rfam family "Bacterial small subunit ribosomal RNA", at positions 524 to 776 of the family's 1533-position model. The record is from RNAcentral.
UACGGGGGGAGCAAGCGUUGUUCGGAUUUACUGGGCGUAAAGGGCGCGUAGGUGGCGCUGCAAGUCGGUGGUGAAAGCUCGAUGCUUAACAUCGAGUCGGCCAUCGAAACUGCAGGGCUCGAGCACUGUAGGGGCAGAUGGAAUUCCGGGUGUAGCGGUGGAAUGCGUAGAGAUCCGGAGGAACACCAGAGGCGAAGGCGGCCUACUGGGCUGCACCUGACGCUGAGCCGCGAAAGCCAGGGGAGCGAACGGG